Long non-coding RNA from Anolis carolinensis (green anole), 1901 nucleotides. RefSeq lists it as uncharacterized. The record is from RefSeq and is a predicted model, not a curated record. Lineage: Eukaryota; Metazoa; Chordata; Lepidosauria; Squamata; Anolidae. The transcript is spliced from 2 exons.
GGGGGGGGGGGGGGGGCAACCACACAGAAGCGCCUGAGCCGAAGGACCAUUCUUUCCGAAAGCCAGUCAUUGUUACCCUGCUCUUGAUUAACGGGGCAUAGAUGUACUUCUAUACAUCCCUAUGGAAGACAGAGAUACAAAGGUGGUCCCGGUGGUCCCAAGAACCUUCCCUCCUCUUGACUCCUCUCGGAAACUUAUAGGUAAUUGGCAUCUGCACUGAAUUUAGUGGGGUUUUGCUUCCGAGAACAUAGGCACAGUAGGACCACCACAACUGUAUUUUCCCGAAGUCAGUCUGACUAAGCCCCAUCUACACAGACCAUUUUAUGCAGUUCGGGGCUAUCAAACUGCCACCAAACACCCACAAAAGUGCACGAAAGGAAGCUCUUAAUGUGCAGCAGUGCUUUGUGGUUUGUGUAAAAUCUGUUGGGGAAUCUGAGCUGUUAGACUCAAAAAUAACCCUCAGUUGGAGUGAUUCCACCAUAAAUAUAGCAGAAUACAGAAGUAAACUCUAUAACCAGCAGAAACUUAGGUGUGGUGAGCUGGGAUAAGCUUCCUUUCUUUAGGAUGCCUUCGGAUUUCAGAGUCAAAACUUCAGGUUCAAAAAUAUUUAUUGGGGUAAAAGAAAUACAUUCUUGAUAGAAAAGGUCUUGGAGUUAUCCAUCCAGCUUGCUAAAUCUCGUCUUCUAAUGAGGUAAAGGGGGGGGGGGGGAGAGAACCCAACAAAAUCACCAUCCAGAUCUCAAACUGGUUUAAGGAUUUCCUAAUCAUCUGCACAGUUAAACCACUUUCUUCAAUAUCGGUUUGAAACUGCAUUAAAUGACCAGUGUAUUCGGGACACAAAUAUGACCCGGAUUCCAUAUUAACCCUCUAUAUUCAAGUAGUAUAUUUUAAAGUGGCAAUUUUUUAAAAUGACCUUGAAAUAGGGAUUAAUUUUUAACCUCGUAUUUACAUGGGGUUUUGUUUUAUAGCUGAUGCCGAUUUAGGUGCCUUCCACACACAUAUAACCCAGAAUAUAAGGCAGAAAAUCCCACAAUAUUUGCUUUGAACUGGGUUAUCUGAAUCCACACUGCCAUAUAUUCCAGUUCAAAGCAGAUAAUAUAGGAUUUUAUUCAGCUGUGUGGAAGGGACCUCAGUCAGGCGAAAGUCACAAUGCAACUAUUGCACCUGAUGCCCCAAUAGUCACCCGCACAAAAGACAGCACGAAAUGGGGCCCCUGAUACAGACUAAAGGGAGUUCAGUGGGACUUGCUUCCUCAAGGUUUGAAUUAGGGAGCAAGCCUCACCGAACUGGGUGAGGCUAAAUAACGAAUUCAGCCGGACUGGCUUCCAGAGAAACAUGCAAAGUGUCCAAGGCACGGAAACCCAACGCCCGAAUCCGCUGGACUGCCGUCCCAUUUAUUUAUGGGAGGCAAUCAGCUAUAUAGGUCCCAGCCAACGCCGCCGCUUUUUGACACAUCCAUGCAAAUACAGUAUGACAAACUCCCUGUUUUUUGGCCGGGGGGUGGGGUCGAAUAAUUCAGAGAAGGCAGCAGAGGCAGAGCGGAAUAAAACGGCAAAAUAGAGGAGGAGAAAGAGGGGAAACGUCUGUUUCCAGAGAGAGUCGCCCCGAAACAAUAGGCAGUGACACCAUUUCCACUGAAUGUGUUUCCAACAGGGCUGCGUGGAUAUAAACAGCGGGAUCAGCCAGGGCAAAGGCACAGUUUUGCCAUACAGUUCAGUGGGAAGGGGGGAAAUGAACCGAAAAAAGUAACUUUCCCUUUACCAGGCUCGGUCACAAAAUGUGUUUUUUCUUUCUUUUCAGAGGCGACAGGCUUAAUCCCCACCAAACCAAACCAGUUCCCCAAAUACAGACUGGCAUCGAAGGAAAAUAAAAGCCCAGAGACCCCAACAUAUGAGAUACAA